RNAcentral lists this ribosomal RNA (521 nucleotides) under uncultured bacterium. Its description in RNAcentral is "bacterial SSU rRNA". It matches the Rfam family "Bacterial small subunit ribosomal RNA", at positions 25 to 518 of the family's 1533-position model. The record is from RNAcentral.
CAGGACGAACGCUGGCGGCGUGCCUAAUACAUGCAAGUCGAACGGCUUUUCUAUGGAAGCUUGCUUCCACUGAGAAGAUAGUGGCGAACGGGUGAGUAACACGUGGGGUAACCUGCCCAUAAGAGGGGGAUAACAUCCGGAAACGGGUGCUAAUACCGCAUAGUUUUCUUGAUCGCAUGAUUGAGAAAGGAAAGACGGCCUUUGUGCUGUCGCUUAUGGAUGGACCCGCGGCGUAUUAGUUAGUUGGUGAGGUAAUGGCUCACCAAGACGAUGAUACGUAGCCGACCUGAGAGGGUGAUCGGCCACAUUGGGACUGAGACACGGCCCAAACUCCUACGGGAGGCAGCAGUAGGGAAUCUUCCGCAAUGGACGAAAGUCUGACGGAGCAACGCCGCGUGAGUGAAAGAAGGUUUUCGGAUCGUAAAACUCUGUUGUCAGAGAAGAACAAGUUGGAGAGUAACUGCUCCAGCCUUGACGGUAUCUGACCAGAAAGCCACGGCUAACUACGUGCCAGCCGCCGC